RNAcentral lists this long non-coding RNA (2043 nucleotides) under Malus domestica (apple). Its description in RNAcentral is "long non-coding RNA (MDOM_LNC011868)". The record is from RNAcentral. Lineage: Eukaryota; Viridiplantae; Streptophyta; Magnoliopsida; Rosales; Rosaceae.
UUUUUUGAAAAAUGAGGAUCCCUUCCCUUAACGGCUUCCUAUAUAUAUAUAUAUAUUUUUUUUUUCUGACUUUUCUAAGGUUUGAAAAAACCCUAAAUUGCUUCUAAUUUAUUUAUAUGCUUUGACUCACAAAUUUCACAUAGCAAUAUAAUUGCGUAAUGCAUGAAACAUAUAUAUAUAUAUAUAUAUAUAUAUAUAUAUAUAUAUCGGAAGGAAAAUAUAAACAUAGGGUUUAUGCAUCAUGAUGAAUGUUUUCAUCUUUGUGGACGUUUCAAAUAUCUUCAUUUAUUUUAAGCGUACCUGAUUAGUAGAAAACAAAUAAAAACCUUUGAAUUUUGUAGAAGAGAGCCUCCUCCUACAAUCCUUCAAUUCCUUAGCUUCAGACAAGAGCGUGCUAAUAACGUGUUGUAGACCUAUUUAACUGAACUAUUCUAAGGGAAUAGAGAGGGGGAGGCCGGCGGCAAUAAGAGAGAAAAGAGAGAUAUUUAAUUGUGAGGUAUGUGUUGUAUCACCCAAUUAUGCCUUUAUUUAUAGUAGCAUGAAAGGUUAAUUCCUUAUCUUUUUAGGAUUACAACUUUAAUAAGAUAUUAACUACUAACGAGAAUAUUCAAAGAUAUCCCUAUGUUACUUCGAAAUUCUCCAACACUAUGUAAGCUUUUAAAGCUACGUAGUGUGGAGGGCAGGAAGAUUGCAAAGGGAGAAUGAGGAUCUUCUUUGUGAGGAUCAUGAGGAUUCUCAAAUCAUGUAUAUUCAUCGUACAUCAUGAGGUCAGAAAUUAUUUUAAAUAUUUUUAUUUAAAAUUAAACAUGAACAGUAUAUGACGAAAACUGAUCGCAAGAUAUACGAUAAACCAACAUAAUUUGAGGAUUCUCAAAAUCCUUACAAAGAGAAGACGAUCCUCGUUGGCAAAAGGAAAAACCGGUUGACUGUUAUUUGCAAGUACAAAUGAUGCUCACUCAGUUUGAUUUCUCUCUUUCGUCAGAAAUUGGAGAUACGACUUUUAAAAACCAAUAUUUUCAUAGUUUCUUUGUUUCUUUUUUUGUCAAAUAGAAGAAUGAUGGGACUCAGACUUUACCUAUAACUUCGUACAAUUUUUCUUAAACCUAUUAAUUUAACUACAAAAAAUUCCAAUCAAAAUCAUGAAGUUUUAUGAAUUGGACACGACAAGUUUAGAGUAAGAACUCUUAUUUAUUUUUGAGUAGCCAAAUGUUUGAACUCGUUAAGACCAUUUCUUAUUGAAUUAAUCAAUAACCAACUUAAUUUGUUUGGCUGCCUAAACAUUAAUUAAUUAACCUUUAAUUAACUUCAGCCAUUGCAGAUAUUGAUGUAUACAACUGUAUACAUAUGUAUCCACAUCAUGCAAGUAGGUGGAAGCGUUUACAAACUUUAUGAGUACGUGAUCAUUUUAUAUGCAAGACAACAAGAGUAAGAUGGUGAUGUUUUUCAAGGCAAGGUGCACCAAGUUGCCCUUGAACAUGACCACCUCGUUGUUCACAAAAUUGGUACUUAAUUAAUUGGUAUUAUUAAUCACCGGCUAAGAAAUAUUCUCCUAAGUCCUUUUUAUAAACAUAUGACCUUUACGUGGAGAAAUUUUAGUUGUGACGGGAACAUGGAUGGUAACCACGUGUUUUUAUGCAAGUGGUGGAAAAUUUUAAUUUUUAAAUUAUUAACCUUUUAGCACACCUAACCCAUCAUUUAUAUAAAGACAUAUGAUGUACCACCUUAUGUGACGAUGAUGCGAGAAUUAACUAGCACACAAAUUAAACCCUCUUUUUGUCAAUUGUAGUAUAAGUAUAAGUAGGGUAUCGUUCUAGGCCGGGGAUUAGGAGGGCUUGCUAAAACCUCUUAAAAACAUAAAAACAAAGUUAAAAAUAUUAAACAAGACUCAAGGACACAAAACUAGGCUAAAAACUCUAAUAAUUCGAAACACACUUAAAAUGACUCAAAAUAAUAAAAACAAUCAAAAUAGACACUAGGAAUUGAAAUGGACGGAAAUUAAAUUAAAAGACUAACAAUAAAGAAAACUAACUAAAUAAUAUAAUU